GAUGAACGCUAGCUACAGGCUUAACACAUGCAAGUCGAGGGGCAGCAUGUUGGUUGCUUGCAACCGAUGAUGGCGACCGGCGCACGGGUGAGUAACGCGUAUCCAACCUUCCCUUAACUUGGGAAUAGCCCGGUGAAAACCGGAUUAAUGCCCUAUGGUCUCCUUCGAGGACAUCUGAAGAGGAGUAAAGAUUGAUCGCCGAGGGAUGGGGAUGCGGCUGAUUAGGAAGCCGGCGGGGUAACGGCCCACCGGUCCUUCGAUCAGUAGGGGUUCUGAGAGGAAGGUCCCCCACACUGGUACUGAGACACGGACCAGACUCC
Molecule: ribosomal RNA, 320 nt
Filed under: uncultured Prevotella sp.
Lineage: Bacteria; Pseudomonadati; Bacteroidota; Bacteroidia; Bacteroidales; Prevotellaceae
Description: bacterial SSU rRNA
Rfam family: Bacterial small subunit ribosomal RNA
Source: RNAcentral